GGCACUUUUGUGUGUUUUUGUCCUAACUUGUGGACUAAAACUUAAUGGAUAGGUACAAAAAACAAAUCCUCAUUUGCAGUCCAUAAAUCAUUGUUCAGUAUGAGUUUUGAUACGUGUAACAAGGAAUAUA
Small nucleolar RNA from Heterocephalus glaber (naked mole-rat), 130 nucleotides. The record is from Ensembl. Lineage: Eukaryota; Metazoa; Chordata; Mammalia; Rodentia; Bathyergidae.